Molecule: non-coding RNA, 46 nt
Organism: Schistosoma curassoni
Lineage: Eukaryota; Metazoa; Platyhelminthes; Trematoda; Strigeidida; Schistosomatidae
Source: Rfam
AUCCAGCCGACGAGUCACAAAUAGGACGAGACGCGCGUCCUGGUAU